This 967-nucleotide ribosomal RNA is filed under the name uncultured bacterium. RNAcentral's name for it is "bacterial SSU rRNA". It matches the Rfam family "Bacterial small subunit ribosomal RNA", at positions 8 to 1007 of the family's 1533-position model. The record is from RNAcentral.
AGAGUUUGAUCCUGGCUCAGAAUCAACGCUGGCGGCGUGCCUAACACAUGCAAGUCGAACGAGAAAGUGGAGCAAUCCAUGAGUAAAGUGGCGACCGGGUGAGUAACACGUGACUAACCUGCCCUCGAGUGGGGAAUAACCUCGGGAAACCGAGGCUAAUACCGCAUAACAUCGCAAGAUCAAAGUCGAAAGACGCUUGAGGAGGGGGUCGCGGCUGAUUAGCUAGUUGGUAGGGUAACGGCCUACCAAGGCUGAGAUCGGUAUCCGGCCUGAGAGGGCGCACGGACACACUGGAACUGAAACACGGUCCAGACUCCUACGGGAGGCAGCAGUGGGGAAUUUUGCGCAAUGGGGGAAACCCUGACGCAGCAACGCCGCGUGGAGGAUGAAGUCCUUUGGGACGUAAACUCCUUUCGACCCGGACGAUACUGACGGUACGGGUGGAAGAAGCACCGGCUAACUCUGUGCCAGCAGCCGCGGUAAUACAGAGGGUGCGAGCGUUGUUCGGAAUUAUUGGGCGUAAAGGGCGCGUAGGCGGCGCGGUAAGUCACCUGUGAAAUCUCCUGGCUCAACUGGGAGCUUGCAGGCGAAACUGCCGUGCUGGAGUGUGGGAGAGGUGCGUGGAAUUCCUGGUGUAGCGGUGAAAUGCGUAGAUAUCAGGAGGAACACCUGUGGCGAAAGCGGCGCACUGGACCACAACUGACGCUGAGGCGCGAAAGCUAGGGGAGCAAACAGGAUUAGAUACCCUGGUAGUCCUAGCCCUAAACUAUGGAUGCUUGCUGUGAUCGGUACCCAAUCCGAUCGUGGCGAAGCUAACGCGAUAAGCAUCCCGCCUGGGGAGUACGGUCGCAAGGCUGAACUCAAAGGAAUUGACGGGGGCCCGCACAAGCGGUGGAGCAUGUGGUUCAUUCGACGCAACGCGAAGAACCUUACCUGGGCUCGAAGCGCAGUGGAAUGAGGUGGAAAC